UGGGUAGGGGAGCGUCGUGUGCCGGGUGAAGCAGCCGCGGAAGCGAGUUGUGGACGGUUCACGAGUGAGAAUGCAGGCAUGAGUAGCGAUACAAACGUGAGAAACGUUUGCGCCGAUUGACUAAGGGUUCCUGGGUCAAGCUGAUCUGCCCAGGGUAAGUCGGGACCUAAGGCGAGGCCGACAGGCGUAGUCGAUGGAUAACCGGUUGAUAUUCCGGUACCCGCUGUGAAGCGUCAAACAUCGAGCAUCGUGAUGCUAAGGCCGUGAAGCCGCCCUGAUCUCUUCGGAGUUGAGGGGAGUGGUGGAGCCGCUGAACCAAGCGGUUAGUAGGUGAGUGAUGGGGUGACGCAGGAAGGUAGUCCAGCCCGGGCGGUGGUUGUCCCGGGGUAAGGGUGUAGGACGUUGGGUAGGUAAAUCCGCCUGACAUGUGUCUGAGACCUGAUGCCGAGCCGAUUGUGGUGAAGUGGAUGAUCCUAUGCUGUCGAGAAAAGCCUCUAGCGAGUUUCAUGGCGGCCCGUACCCUAAACCGACUCAGGUGGUCAGGUAGAGAAUACCGAGGCGUUCGGGUGAACUAUGGUUAAGGAACUCGGCAAAAUGCCCCCGUAACUUCGGGAGAAGGGGGGCCAUUUCUGGUGACCGGAUUUACUCCGUGAGCUGGGGGUGGCCGCAGAGACCAGCGAGAAGCGACUGUUUACUAAAAACACAGGUCCGUGCGAAGCCGUAAGGCGAUGUAUACGGACUGACGCCUGCCCGGUGCUGGAACGUUAAGGGGACCGGUUAGCUCCAUUUCGGUGGGGCGAAGCUGAGAACUUAAGCGCCAGUAAACGGCGGUGGUAACUAUAACCAUCCUAAGGUAGCGAAAUUCCUUGUCGGGUAAGUUCCGACCUGCACGAAUGGCGUAACGACUUCUUGACUGUCUCAACCAUAGGCCCGGUGAAAUUGCACUACGAGUAAAGAUGCUCGUUUCGCGCAGCAGGACGGAAAGACCCCGGGACCUUUACUACAGUUUGAUAUUGGUGUUCGGUUCGGCUUGUGUAGGAUAGCUGGGAGACUUUGAAGCUCGCACGCCAGUGUGGGUGGAGUCGUCGUUGAAAUACCAGUCUGGUCGUGCUGGAUGUCUAACCUGGGUCCGUGAUCCGGAUCAGGGACAGUGUCUGAUGGGUAGUUUAACUGGGGCGGUUGCCUCCUAAAGAGUAACGGAGGCGCCCAAAGGUUCCCUCAGCCUGGUUGGCAAUCAGGUGUUGAGUGUAAGUGCACAAGGGAGCUUGACUGUGAGACCGACGGGUCGAGCAGGGACGAAAGUCGGGACUAGUGAUCCGGCGGUGGCUUGUGGAAGCGCCGUCGCUCAACGGAUAAAAGGUACCCCGGGGAUAACAGGCUGAUCUUCCCCAAGAGUCCAUAUCGACGGGAUGGUUUGGCACCUCGAUGUCGGCUCGUCGCAUCCUGGGGCUGGAGUCGGUCCCAAGGGUUGGGCUGUUCGCCCAUUAAAGCGGUACGCGAGCUGGGUUUAGAACGUCGUGAGACAGUUCGGUCCCUAUCCGCUGUGCGCGUAGGAGUCUUGAGAAGGGCUGUCCCUAGUACGAGAGGACCGGGACGGACGAACCUCUGGUGUGCCAGUUGUCCUGCCAAGGGCAUGGCUGGUUGGCUACGUUCGGGAGGGAUAACCGCUGAAAGCAUCUAAGCGGGAAGCCUGCUUCGAGAUGAGGACUCCCACCCACUUGA
This 1722-nucleotide ribosomal RNA is filed under the name Streptomyces olivaceus. RNAcentral describes it as "bacterial LSU rRNA". It matches the Rfam family "Bacterial large subunit ribosomal RNA", at positions 1225 to 2823 of the family's 2925-position model. Lineage: Bacteria; Bacillati; Actinomycetota; Actinomycetes; Kitasatosporales; Streptomycetaceae. The record is from RNAcentral.